UACGGAGGGUGCAAGCGUUAUCCGGAAUUACUGGGUUUAAAGGGUGCGUAGGCGGUUAAGUAAGUCAGAGGUGAAAUGUUAUCGCUCAACGAUAAAAUUGCCUUUGAUACUGCUUAACUUGAAUCAGAAUGAGGUUGGCGGAAUGUGACAUGUAGCGGUGAAAUGCAUAGAUAUGUCAUGGAACACCGAUUGCGAAGGCAGCUGACUGGCACUUGAUUGACGCUGAGGCACGAAAGCGUGGGGAGCGAACAGG
Molecule: ribosomal RNA, 253 nt
Filed under: uncultured bacterium
Lineage: Bacteria
Also listed under: 1 other name
Description: partial 16S ribosomal RNA
Rfam family: Bacterial small subunit ribosomal RNA
Source: RNAcentral